Molecule: ribosomal RNA, 253 nt
Filed under: uncultured bacterium
Lineage: Bacteria
Description: partial 16S ribosomal RNA
Rfam family: Bacterial small subunit ribosomal RNA
Source: RNAcentral
UACGUAGGGUGCGAGCGUUAAUCGGAAUUACUGGGCGUAAAGCGUGCGCAGGCGGUGAGCUGUGUCCGAUGUGAAAGCCCCGGGCUUAACCUGGGAAUGGCAUUGGAAACUGGCUCGCUGGAGUGUGGCAGAGGGGGGUGGAAUUCCGCGUGUAGCAGUGAAGUGCGUAGAGAUGCGGAGGAACACCGAUGGCGAAGGCAGCCCCCUGGGCCAACACUGACGCUCAGGCACGAAAGCGUGGGGAGCAAACAGG